This 493-nucleotide ribosomal RNA is filed under the name uncultured bacterium. RNAcentral's name for it is "bacterial SSU rRNA". It matches the Rfam family "Bacterial small subunit ribosomal RNA", at positions 903 to 1397 of the family's 1533-position model. The record is from RNAcentral.
AAAGGAAUUGACGGGGGCCCGCACAAGCGGAGGAACAUGUGGUUUAAUUCGAUGAUACGCGAGGAACCUUACCCGGGCUUGAAAUGCGGACGGCAGGCGGAGAGACCCGCCUUCCCCUCGGGGCGUCCGUGUAGGUGCUGCAUGGUUGUCGUCAGCUCGUGCCGUGAGGUGUCGGCUUAAGUGCCAUAACGAGCGCAACCCUCAUCGUUAGUUGCCAUCAGGUUAUGCUGGGGACUCUAGCGAGACUGCCAUCGUAAGGUGCGAGGAAGGUGGGGAUGACGUCAAAUCAGCACGGCCCUUAUGUCCGGGGCGACACACGUGUUACAAUGGGCGGUACAAAGGGUUGCUACCCGGUGACGGGGCGCCAAUCCCCAAAACCGCUCUCAGUUCGGAUCGGAGUCUGCAACUCGACUUCGUGAAGCUGGAAUCGCUAGUAAUCGCGGGUCAGCAUACCGCGGUGAAUACGUUCCCGGGCCUUGUACACACCGCCCGU